GACGAACGCUGGCGGCGUGCCUAAUACAUGCAAGUCGAGCGGACGGACGAGGAGCUUGCUGGUCUGAUGUUAGGGGAGGACGGGUGUGUAACACGUGGAUAACGUACCUAUAAGACUGGGAUAAUUUCGAGAAACCGGCGAUAAUACCGGAUAAUAUCUUGAACCGCAGGGGUCAAAAGUAAGAGACGGUGUUGCUGUCAGUUAUAGAGGGAUCUGCGCUGCAUUAGCUAGUUGGUAAGGUAACGGCUUAUCAAGGCAACGAUGCAUAGCCGACCGCAGAGAGUGAUCGCCGACACGGGAGCUGGGCCACGGUCCAGGCUCCUACGAGAGGCAGCAGUAUGGAAUCUGCCGCAAUGGGCGAGAGCCUUACGGAGCAGCGCCGCGUGUGUUAUGAAGGUCUUCGGAUCGUAAAGCUCGCUUAUUAGUGAAGAACAUAUGUGUAAGGAGCUGUGCACAUCGUGACGGUACCGAGUAAAAAAGCCACGGCUAACUACGUG
RNAcentral lists this ribosomal RNA (497 nucleotides) under uncultured bacterium. RNAcentral describes it as "partial 16S ribosomal RNA". It matches the Rfam family "Bacterial small subunit ribosomal RNA", at positions 28 to 507 of the family's 1533-position model. The record is from RNAcentral.